UGUCUCCACAUGUGUCCACAUUAUUAGUUCAACAUCUCCAUGUCCAUGACUUGUGAAACAUAGUCAUCAACUAAUACAUGUGCUAGUCUAAUAUUCAUGUGUGUCCUCACAUGAACUCCGACUAGGGACAACUUUAGAAUAACCAUACAAGUAAAGAGUUUCACAUACAAUUCACAUAAUUUCAAAUCAAUUCAAGUAGCCUUCAAUGGAUAUUCAAUGAACACAACAUACAAAUCAUGGAUACAAAUGGAAUAUCAUCAUCUCUAUGAUUGCCUCUAGGGCAUACCUCCAACAGUCUCCCAC
Molecule: long non-coding RNA, 303 nt
Filed under: Setaria viridis
Lineage: Eukaryota; Viridiplantae; Streptophyta; Magnoliopsida; Poales; Poaceae
Description: long non-coding RNA (SVIR_LNC006974)
Source: RNAcentral